AUACGGAGGAUCCGAGCGUUAUCCGGAUUUAUUGGGUUUAAAGGGUGCGCAGGCGGCCAUUUAAGUCAGCGGUUAAAUCGUGGGGCUCAACCCCAUUCUGCCGUUGAUACUGGGUGGCUUGAUUGCGGUCGAGGUUGGCGGAAUUCGUUGUGUAGCGGUGAAAUGCAUAGAUAUGACGAAGAACACCGAUUGCGUAGGCAGCUGACCAGACCGCAAAUGACGCUCAUGCACGAAAGUGCGGGGAUCGAACAGGAUUAGAUACCCUGGUAGUCCGCACAGUAAACGAUGAAUACUCGCUGUUUGCGAUAUACAGUAAGCGGCACAGCGAAAGCGUUAAGUGAUCCACCUGGGGAGUACGCCGGCAACGGUGAAACUCAAAUGAAUUGGCGGGG
RNAcentral lists this ribosomal RNA (392 nucleotides) under uncultured bacterium. RNAcentral describes it as "partial 16S ribosomal RNA". It matches the Rfam family "Bacterial small subunit ribosomal RNA", at positions 523 to 918 of the family's 1533-position model. The record is from RNAcentral.